CCCUUAGAUGUUCUGGGCCGCACGCGUGCUACACUGUCGGAUUCAGCGAGUCAUAUCCUUAACCGAAAGGUUUGGGUAAUCUUUUGAAAGUCCGACGUGAUGGGGAUUGAUCAUUGCAAUUAUUGAUCAUGAACGAGGAAUUCCUAGUAAGCGCGAGUCAUCAGCUCGCGUUGAUUACGUCCCUGCCCUUUGUACACACCGCCCGUCGCUACUACCGAUUGAAUGGUUUAGUGAGAUCUUCGGAUUGGCGCCUACGCGGCUUCUCUGAGGCCACGCUGGAUGCCGAAAAGUUGCUCAAACUGUAUCAUUUAGAGGAAGUAAAAGUCGUAACA
Molecule: ribosomal RNA, 332 nt
Filed under: uncultured eukaryote
Lineage: Eukaryota
Description: partial 18S ribosomal RNA
Rfam family: Eukaryotic small subunit ribosomal RNA
Source: RNAcentral